RNAcentral lists this ribosomal RNA (253 nucleotides) under uncultured bacterium. RNAcentral's name for it is "partial 16S ribosomal RNA". It matches the Rfam family "Bacterial small subunit ribosomal RNA", at positions 524 to 776 of the family's 1533-position model. The record is from RNAcentral.
UACAGAGGUCCCGAGCGUUGUUCGGAUUCACUGGGCGUAAAGGGUGCGUAGGCGGUCGGAUAAGUUUGAUGUGAAAUCUCCGGGCUUAACCCGGAAAGGUCAAUCGAUACUGCAGGGCUAGAGUGCAGAAGGGGCAACUGGAAUUCUCGGUGUAGCGGUGAAAUGCGUAGAUAUCGAGAGGAACACCUGCGGCGAAGGCGGGUUGCUGGGCUGACACUGACGCUGAAGCGCGAAAGCUAGGGGAGCGAACGGG